Molecule: ribosomal RNA, 525 nt
Filed under: Triticum aestivum (bread wheat)
Lineage: Eukaryota; Viridiplantae; Streptophyta; Magnoliopsida; Poales; Poaceae
Description: partial small subunit ribosomal RNA
Source: RNAcentral
AUGAUAUGCUUACGAAUUUACAGAGUGAACUUCUGGGAUGAAUUGCUCGAGUGUAUUGCCCUCCACUCCCCCUCCCUUGAACCCGACUCGCUGCCUUGGCAUCUCGAGCCAAGCGGUAGAUUCUCGACUAGAUCCCUAUACCAGGCGAUUGUUCCCACCCCUGGUCCGGUGGAGCUCUCGGUGCUCUGGGAGAUCAAACUCCCCUUGAAAAUCCGCAUAUUUCUCUGGCAAUGGGUCUGAGGUCGCCUGCCCUCGGGCACGGAGGUCUGAAAACGUAAUGGCCUGGGGAUGGCCUCUGCCCCAUUUGUUUGGUACCGGAAGACUGCAACCACAUCUUCUUUCGAUGCCCUGCGGUGCAGUUCCUAUGGAGCUGCUUCCGGGAGGUGGUUGGUGGUAAUUGGUGCCAUGACAACCUCCCGGAUUUGUUUGGGGAGGUCCUUAGGCUCCCUGGCGCUAGUCGCGCCCCCAUUUGGGUGGCUUUGGGUACCCUUGCCUGGUCCCUUUAGUGUACCCGUAAUAAACUAG